This 180-nucleotide unclassified non-coding RNA is filed under the name uncultured fungus. RNAcentral describes it as "sequence contains ITS1, 5.8S rRNA gene". The record is from RNAcentral. Lineage: Eukaryota; Fungi.
UCGAAUUCAGAAGGCUCGAGUUGUAGCUGGUCUCUCAUGGGACAGGUGCUCGCUCUUGCUCUUUCCGACUCACCCUGUGCACUCUUGCGUGGGUUGUGGUGGCUCUUGCCCAUCGCACCUGCGAUUUUCAUAUACCCUUUGCAUGUAUCAGAAUGUUCUUUGCGUUGUACGCAUCUAAUA